CCAGACUCCUACGGGAGGCAGCAGUGGGGGAUAUUGCACAAUGGGGGAAACCCUGAUGCAGCGACGCCGCGUGGGCGAAGAAGUAUUUCGGUAUGUAAAGCCCUAUCAGCAGGGAAGAAGAAAUGACGGUACCUGAGUAAGAAGCACCGGCUAAAUACGUGCCAGCAGCCGCGGUAAUACGUAGGGGGCAAGCGUUAUCCGGAUUCACUGGGUGUAAAGGGAGCGUAGACGGCCAUGCAAGCCAGGGGUGAAAGCCCGGGGCCCAACCCCGGGACUGCCCUUGGAACUGCAUGGCUGGAGUGCGGGAGGGGCAGGCGGAAUUCCUGGUGUAGCGGUGAAAUGCGUAGAUAUCAGGAGGAACACCGGCGGCGAAGGCGGCCUGCUGGACCGCGACUGACGUUGAGGCUCGAAAGCGUGGGGAGCGAACAGGAUUAGAUACCCGGGUAC
RNAcentral lists this ribosomal RNA (447 nucleotides) under uncultured bacterium. RNAcentral describes it as "bacterial SSU rRNA". It matches the Rfam family "Bacterial small subunit ribosomal RNA", at positions 331 to 793 of the family's 1533-position model. The record is from RNAcentral.